AAUCUUUGACCUCUUAAUGAGAAUAUAUUUAAAUCUUUAAACUCAGUGUUCCUUAAUUUUUUUUUCUUUUCAGGUAACUUAUCAAGAUGGAUAUCAGGCGCCAGAAGAUGUGUUCAACUGAUAAAGAUUCAACUUGGAAAGGGAUCUACUUACUUCCUGAUAAUAUGCAACAAAACAGAUACAAGGGCUCUGCCUCUGCUGACGUCCUGAAGGGUUCUGUGCUCCUUCUUGCUGAUGCGUCAUUUCAGAUGAAAGCUGUUAGAAAUCGACAUUCAGGUCAGGGUACUUCACCUCGACAGGACACACAGUCUUUCUUCUUGUGCCCCAUCAUGUUGCAGAGGCAAUGAUAUUCUAUACAUCUGAUGUCCAGUAAGGAAUUUUAGUAAAAGAGCUUUUGACAAUUUCAGUCACU
Pan troglodytes (chimpanzee) is the source of this 412-nucleotide long non-coding RNA. NCBI's taxonomy places the organism in Eukaryota, Metazoa, Chordata, Mammalia, Primates, Hominidae. The record is from Ensembl.